This 445-nucleotide ribosomal RNA is filed under the name uncultured organism. RNAcentral describes it as "partial 16S ribosomal RNA". It matches the Rfam family "Bacterial small subunit ribosomal RNA", at positions 335 to 797 of the family's 1533-position model. The record is from RNAcentral.
ACUCCUACGGGAGGCAGCAGUGGGGAAUAUUGGACUAUGGGCGCAAGCCUGAUCCAGCCAUGCCGCGUGAGUGAUGAAGGCCCUAGGGUUGUAAAGCUCUUUCACCGGUGAAGAUAAUGACGGUAACCGGAGAAGAAGCCCCGGCUAACUUCGUGCCAGCAGCCGCGGUAAUACGAAGGGGGCUAGCGUUGUUCGGAUUUACUGGGCGUAAAGCGCACGUAGGCGGACUAUUAAGUCAGGGGUGAAAUCCCGGGGCUCAACCCCGGAACUGCCUUUGAUACUGGUAGUCUUGAGUUCGAGAGAGGUGAGUGGAAUUCCGAGUGUAGAGGUGAAAUUCGUAGAUAUUCGGAGGAACACCAGUGGCGAAGGCGGCUCACUGGCUCGAUACUGACGCUGAGGUGCGAAAGCGUGGGGAGCAAACAGGAUUAGAUACCCUGUAGUCCCA